Molecule: ribosomal RNA, 492 nt
Filed under: uncultured bacterium
Lineage: Bacteria
Description: partial 16S ribosomal RNA
Rfam family: Bacterial small subunit ribosomal RNA
Source: RNAcentral
AGUGAACGCUGGCGGUAGGCCUAACACAUGCAAGUCGAACGGCAGCACAGUAAGAGCUUGCUCUUACGGGUGGCGAGUGGCGGACGGGUGAGGAAUACAUCGGAAUCUACUUUUUCGUGGGGGAUAACGUAGGGAAACUUACGCUAAUACCGCAUACGACCUACGGGUGAAAGCAGGGGAUCUUCGGACCUUGCGCGAUUGAAUGAGCCGAUGUCGGAUUAGCUAGUUGGCGGGGUAAAGGCCCACCAAGGCGACGAUCCGUAGCUGGUCUGAGAGGAUGAUCAGCCACACUGGAACUGAGACACGGUCCAGACUCCUACGGGGGGCAGCAGUGGGGAAUAUUGGACAAUGGGCGCAAGCCUGACCCAGCCACACCGCGUGAGUGAAGAAGGCCUUCGGAUCGUAAAGCUCUUUUAUUGGGGAAGAAAAACAGUGUGUUAAACCACCGCUGUCUUGACGGUACCCAAUGAGAAAGCCCCGGCUAACUUCGUG